UGCCAGACUCCUACGGGAGGCAGCAGUGGGGAAUAUUGCACAAUGGGGGGAACCCUGAUGCAGCGACGCCGCGUGAGCGAUGAAGUAUUUCGGUAUGUAAAGCUCUAUCAGCAGGGAAGAAAAUGACGGUACCUGACUAAGAAGCCCCGGCUAACUACGUGCCAGCAGCCGCGGUAAUACGUAGGGGGCGAGCGUUAUCCGGAUUCACUGGGCGUAAAGGGAGCGCAGGCGGCACGGCAAGUCCGGUGUGAAAGCCCGGGGCCCAACCCCGGGACUGCACUGGAAACUGCCGGGCUGGAGUGUCGGAGGGGCAGGCGGAAUUCCUAGUGUAGCGGUGAAAUGCGUAGAUAUUAGGAGGAACACCGGUGGCGAAGGCGGCCUGCUGGACGACGACUGACGCUGAGGCUCGAAAGCGUGGGGAGCAAACAGGAUUAGAUACCCCGGUA
Molecule: ribosomal RNA, 446 nt
Filed under: uncultured bacterium
Lineage: Bacteria
Description: bacterial SSU rRNA
Rfam family: Bacterial small subunit ribosomal RNA
Source: RNAcentral